GUGGGGAAUCUUCCACAAUGGACGAAAGUCUGAUGGAGCAACGCCGCGUGAGUGAAGAAGGGUUUCGGCUCGUAAAGCUCUGUUGUCGGGGACGAAUGUGCAGUAUUUGAAUAAAGUACUGUAAUGACGGUACCUGACGAGGAAGCCACGGCUAACUACGUGCCAGCAGCCGCGGUAAUACGUAGGUGGCAAGCGUUGUCCGGAAUUAUUGGGCGUAAAGGGAGCGCAGGCGGGAAGGUAAGUCGGUCUUAAAAGUGCGGGGCUCAACCCCGUGAUGGGAUCGAAACUAUCUUUCUUGAGUGCAGGAGAGGAAAGUGGAAUUCCUAGUGUAGCGGUGAAAUGCGUAGAUAUCACACAGAACACCGAUUGCGUAGGCAGCUUACUGGAGCGCAACUGACGCUGAGGCACGAAAGCGUGGGGAUCGAACAGGAUUAGAUACCCCUGUAGUCC
RNAcentral lists this ribosomal RNA (450 nucleotides) under uncultured bacterium. RNAcentral's name for it is "partial 16S ribosomal RNA". It matches the Rfam family "Bacterial small subunit ribosomal RNA", at positions 354 to 796 of the family's 1533-position model. The record is from RNAcentral.